CCCUUAGAUGUUCUGGGCCGCACGCGCGCUACACUGUUCGACGCAGCGAGUCUUAACCUUGACCGAAAGGUUUGGGUAAUCUUCAGCAAAGUCGAACGUGAUGGGGAUCGAUCAUUGCAAUUAUUGAUCGUGAACGAGGAAUUCCUAGUAAGUGCAAGUCAUCAGCUUGCGCCGAUUACGUCCCUGCCCUUUGUACACACCGCCCGUCGCUACUACCGAUUGAAUGGUUUAGUGAGAUCUCUGGAUUGACGCUGGCUAGGGGGCGACCCUUGGCCAGACUGUUGAGAAACUGCUCAAACUUGAUCAUUUAGAGGAAGUAAAAGUCGUAACA
Molecule: ribosomal RNA, 331 nt
Filed under: uncultured eukaryote
Lineage: Eukaryota
Description: partial 18S ribosomal RNA
Rfam family: Eukaryotic small subunit ribosomal RNA
Source: RNAcentral